RNAcentral lists this ribosomal RNA (499 nucleotides) under uncultured bacterium. Its description in RNAcentral is "bacterial SSU rRNA". It matches the Rfam family "Bacterial small subunit ribosomal RNA", at positions 8 to 507 of the family's 1533-position model. The record is from RNAcentral.
AGAGUUUGAUCAUGGCUCAGGAUUAACGCUGGCGGUAUGCUAACACAUGCAAGUCGAACGGAAUACUAAUUAAGAGAAUCUCACACUAGUGAGAGGUUCUCACGAGUAGUAUUUAGUGGCGGACGGGUGAGUAACACGUUGGAACCUGCCCCGAAGUGGGGAAUAACUGCUCGAAAGAGUAGCUAAUACCCCAUAGUAUCCGGUUUAUCCGGAUUAAAGAUUUAUCGCUUCGGGAGGGGCCUGCGUCUGAUUAGCUAGUUGGUGAGGUAAAAGCUCACCAAGGCGACGAUCAGUAGCUGGUUCGAGAGGAUGACCAGCCACACUGGGACUGAGAUACGGCCCAGACUCCUACGGGAGGCAGCAGUGAGGAAUCUUCCACAAUGGGCGCAAGCCUGAUGGAGCAAUACCGCGUGCAGGAAGACGCUUUUCGGAGUGUAAACUGCUUUUGUCGUCGAAGAUUAUGACUGUAGACGAAGAAUAAGGACCGGCUAACUACGUG